CCUCAGACGCUCCUCAUCCCUGAUACAGACACCACAUCAGAGCAGCAGAGACCUCGUGAGACCAGCAGAGACCAGGACGUGUCCCGGAGACCAGAACCCAUGACAAAGAUCACAACCACCAUUCUCCAGAACCAUCAAGCAGCAGAAGAUUAAGGACGUGUGGAGAAAACAGACCAGGACUGGCGCUGCUGACGGAGGACUGACAGGGUGCAUUAUGGGUAAGACGAUCACAAGAAAAGGAAGUCCAAAUCUUCACACCCCUCCACCCCCCUCCUGCCUGUGGCCCCUGGUGCAGUGCUGCAUCUCUGGUCAGUUGGUAGUCUGAGAUGAAGCACUGUAGCUCGGGACGUGGGACCAAAACCUCCACCAGGUGAACACGUGUCCAGGUCUCCGAGAGUCCACCUGAGACGGGUCUCUCAGGGGACACAGUUUAUCUUUAUUCUGUUAAACAUUUUAUCAACAUUAUUUGUGAAUGUUCUGCGAGUAAAGAUGAACUUCAAUAGAGUUUGAUGAAUAAUUAAAUAUGUUCAGAUCAACGAUGAUACAGAAGAGAUCCUCCUCUCUCCUAGGGUCCAGUUUUCCCAGGAAUCCCUUGACCAAUCAGAAACGGGGAUUCCUGGAAAUACUGUUCUUGGGGGCGGGGCUUUUCAGCAGCUCAGCUUCAACCUGUUACUGUGUGCAGUAUGGUCGUAUUAUUGUGCGUUUGUGUCAUGUCACAUGUCUAUUGUGUGAGUGUACGAUUAUUGACGAGUUGUUAAUAUUAAACAAAAGUAAAAAUGUU
Molecule: non-coding RNA, 781 nt
Organism: Labrus bergylta (ballan wrasse)
Lineage: Eukaryota; Metazoa; Chordata; Actinopteri; Labriformes; Labridae
Source: RefSeq, a predicted model, not a curated record